GUUAUCCUUGAUAAUUGUCAACAUCAUCUUGAACCUAUAUACAAACAUGAACUAGAAAUUCAUAUCAUAGCUGAUGAAAUGCUUCCCCCCUUUUUAUUUGGUAAACAAAAAAAUGAAACUUUGGCCUGUGAAAUCCAUACAUAAAAAAUAGUAAAUUAAUGCCAUAUCUUUGAUUAAAAAAAAUGUUUUACUUGCUCGUGCGAGCCAAGUUACUAUGCGUAAGAACACAACCGUUAUGUUUAAAAGAAUAAUAUUUCCUUUUUCUGAAUUUAUAAUAUCAUAACAAGUACUUCCAAUGCCUUACACUUCCCCCAACUUCAAU
RNAcentral lists this long non-coding RNA (322 nucleotides) under Mytilus galloprovincialis (Mediterranean mussel). Lineage: Eukaryota; Metazoa; Mollusca; Bivalvia; Mytilida; Mytilidae. The record is from RNAcentral.